Phyllopteryx taeniolatus (common seadragon) is the source of this 486-nucleotide long non-coding RNA. RefSeq lists it as uncharacterized. Lineage: Eukaryota; Metazoa; Chordata; Actinopteri; Syngnathiformes; Syngnathidae. The transcript has 2 exons. The record is from RefSeq and is a predicted model, not a curated record.
UGGCUAAAAACAGACCGAGCAACAGGAAGUCACAUAGUGCAUAACGGUGUCUAUUUUAAAUGUAUUUUUUAAAUCCGCAACCCUAGUGAGGAUAAGCGGUACAGAAAAUGGAUGGAUGAAUGGAAAUUCAUAUUUAGCCUACAAUGGGCUGGCGACCAGUCCAGGGUGAACACCGCCUCUCUCCCAAAGUCAGCUGAGAUAGGCGCCAGCUCCCCCUGCGACCCUCGUGAGGGGCUUGUCAUGUCAUCACAGACACAUGGAGAGAACGCACCACCCUCUGAGGAAGGAGUUGGCUGUUGAGUUCUGAUGGUCGAAAAGAAGGAAUUUGUUUCGACAAAAUUCCCUUCAGAAAAAUUCCCCUCAUGCUGCAAUAUAUUUUCGGUUGUUCGUAAACUGAAUUGUGUGGUUUAACAUUUGAAACUGUCAUACAAGUAUAAAGAGAAUUAAUCAUGGUGUAAUAUGACUAAAAUAAAGUAAAACUACUCA